This 170-nucleotide ribosomal RNA is filed under the name uncultured bacterium. RNAcentral's name for it is "partial 16S ribosomal RNA". It matches the Rfam family "Bacterial small subunit ribosomal RNA", at positions 356 to 525 of the family's 1533-position model. The record is from RNAcentral.
CUGGCAUUGGCAUGGGCGCAGCCUGAUCAGCAUGCCGCGUGUGUGAUGAAGGCCUUCGGGUUGUAAAGCUCUUUUGUCCGGGAAGAAAUCCCUUGGGCUAAUACCCUGGGGGCCUGACGGUACCGGGCCAGUAACCCCCGGCUUACUACGUGCCACCAGCCGCGAUAAUA